CCGGCACGGGUGAGUAACACGUAUCCAACCUGCCGUCUACUCUUGGACAGCCUUCUGAAAGGAAAGGAUUAAUACAAGAUGGCAUCAUGAGCCGCAUGUUCACAUGAUUAAAGGUAUUCCGGUAGACGAUGGGGAUGCGUUCCAUUAGAUAGUAGGCGGGGUAACGGCCCACCUAGUCUUCGAUGGAUAGGGGUUCUGAGAGGAAGGUCCCCCACAUUGGAACUGAGACACGGUCCAA
This 238-nucleotide ribosomal RNA is filed under the name uncultured bacterium. RNAcentral describes it as "partial 16S ribosomal RNA". It matches the Rfam family "Bacterial small subunit ribosomal RNA", at positions 100 to 334 of the family's 1533-position model. The record is from RNAcentral.